GCUGAUGACUAGGCACUUGUUGGAGUAACUGUUUGCCUCUUAGCAUGGAGCCAGAUGGCUAGUGAGGGGAAUUUAUAAAGUUAGGAAUUCAUGGCAGGAAAAGGUAGUUUGAAAGCUUCUCGGCGGCCUUGGGAGAGAGCACAGGCAAUGAGAGGAAAGAAGCAGGCACUGGAAGAGUUUGUGCUGCUAGAUCAAUUGGUGGCAAAUGUCAAAAACUGUGUUCCUAACAGUGAGGAAAAGUUUUACAGUUACAGUAUCAGUUAGUGAAAGGUUUGCCAUGUAGCAUUCUACAGGCAAGGGGAACUGGUUACGAAGAUAUAGCUACAAAGAGAUAGCAAAGUUUUGGAAAGUAUAUUUAGAUAAUGUCACAAAUACAAUUGGAUACUUUUUAAUAUAGUUCUGAAAAACUAUCUUCAACACAAAAAUAUUUCAAGAACAAAAAUGCACAGAAUUUAGAAAAGGAAAACGUCGUUUCAAAGAGGCAAACUUAUGAAUCGCAUCAGCAACAGAAUAUUUUGUCUGUCCAGAUACACAAGCCUCAAUAUCUUCUGGACUUAGCUGAGUCUGUAAGAAGAGGUGAAGUCUACUGUCCGAAAGCAAUAAUGCAUUUUGUAGGAUCCUUUAAAAAAAAGAAAAACACACGUAGUUACUAGAACAAUUUCUCAGAGGUGUCCGGCUUUUAAAUGAAUCCCAAAUUAGCUUCAGAAUGCACUGCAUAUAAUAAAAUGAUUAGUGCCAUCUGGAGGUUAAAUGCGUGAAGAAACACAGAGAGGAAGAAUUAGAGAAAGAUGUUCAUUGAACCAAUCACACACAGUCCAUCUAGAAGGGAAAACAUUUAGAGUUCUUUACUAACCACUGUAAGUCAACAUGAGCAGUCAUAGAAGCACUCUUCACCUAGGUAUGCCCUUGGAACGCCUGCUCUACUCUUUAAUUGAGAAAUGACAACUUUUGCUUUCUUCCUUCUGCACCAGCCGCUUAUAUUGCUUGAAGGAUGUAAUUAAAAAGCCAUCAAAAUGAAAAAUAAAGUGUCUGCACUAUUCA
Non-coding RNA from Chrysemys picta bellii (western painted turtle), 1041 nucleotides. The record is from RefSeq and is a predicted model, not a curated record. Lineage: Eukaryota; Metazoa; Chordata; Testudines; Emydidae.